GGAUCAAGGGCCUUCCCUCCCAAUGAUGUCAACCAAGGCCAUCCUCUGCUACAUAUGUAUCUGGAGCCAUUGGUUCCCCACUGUACCCUCAUUGGUUGGUGGUCUAGUUCCUGGGAGCAUUGGGUGGUCCAGACAGUCGACAUGGUUCUUCCUAUAAGGUUGCAAUCCCCCUCCGCUCCUCCAGUCCUUCAGCCAGCUUCCCCACUGGGGUCCCCUAGGUCAGUCUGAUGAUUGGCUCCAAGCUUCCACAUCUGCAUUGGUCAGGUGCUGGCAGAACCUCCCAGGGAACAGCCACACCAGGUUCCAAUUAGCACCACUCCCUAAUGACCAAACAUUCAAAAAUAUGAGCCUAUAGGGGUCACCAUUCUUUCUUAAACCAUCACAUAAAGAAGUACCAAGCUGAGCACUCCAAAUUCCUGACCCACAGAACUAGGAGGGAUAACCAUUACUGUCUGAAGUUCUGAAGCAUUUGGGUAGUUUAUUUCAUAGCAGUAGCUAUUGUAAUGACUAUUAGUAUCUUUGACAGAUGAAGGCACUGAGGCUUAGCACAUUUUGGUGAGCUAUCCAUGACUGUAAAGCUGAUGAGGUAGGGGGAUGCUACCUACCCCAGACCAUGCAGUGCAGCAGCCAGACCUUUACUGUCCCCAUGCACAAGUGGUGGUGCUGCUUACAUAGUUUCAAAUGAAUGAACAGACAUUUAAGAGAAUUAAUUACAUCAGCAUAUAUAUGAAUGUUAUUAAAGACAUAGAAAAAUAUCUACAGUCCCCAUUAAGUUGGAUUUUCUUACUAUUUAGUAUUGAGAAUAUGAUUAUCCAAAUAAAGUCAGCUCCAUUAUCUAUUCUGAUUGCAUAAAUGAUGAACAAGAAAGAAAUUAAGACUUCCUUUGUUGGCAUGGGAUCACAGCUAUCUUCUAUCUAUCUAUCUAUCUAUCUAUCUAUCUAUCUAUCUAUCUAUCUAUACCCUGAAGCUGUACUCAAUAUAAUUUACAUGGUAUGAAAUAAGCAAUGAGACUUGCCCCUUUUUUUGGCUGGGUAAUAUAAAUAUUUUCUUAUAUCUAUGGGCAUCUUUGUCAAUAGUUGUUAAUAUGAUAAUAUUCACUUAUUUUACUAGUAGAAAGUUUUUCUUGCUUUCCUGUUAUUAAAAACUAUUCUGUGUGUAAUGUUUUAUGCUUUCUUUUAUAUAUUUACCCUUAAGGUAAGCUCCAAGAAGUGGUCAGAUCUUUACCUUAAAAUUAUGACCUAUGGCUGGUCAUAAGAGUAGUUAGAAAAUAAUUUCAAAACUUUGACAAACUGCCCUCAAAAAAUAAUGUCCUAACUUGUUUUGCCAGUCCAAAGGAGUGCCUACUUCCCUGUGACCCUGUAUGCCAAUGCACUAGACAUAGUAACUUCCAACAACCUUAGAAGCAGGACGUUGCUCUGUAGAGUUUUUGGGUAUGAAGACUUGUCCAUUUUCAUGUACAGGACUCAUGGGGACUGGCUUUCUGCAGCAGUCUUAGGAAGAAGGAAGACCUGAAUGGUAAUGAAAAGGCCAGCCUGUGAGAACAUUUGCCCACUGCCUCUAUUUGGCCCUAACUUCUUUUACUUCAUCUAUCUGUUGUAUCAAAUUCUUUCAGUGUCGACUAUUUCUUAUAUACGAUGUAAAUACCCUUAGAAAUCUUUCAUUGGAAUUUGUUUAAUUUGUACUGCAUAAAGUCACAGCCCACAUGUAGCUGUUAAAACAGAAGCAGCUGCUGUUGUAUGCACCAAGCCUUUGUCCUUAUUUUGCUUUCUCUUUCCUCUGAAGACUCCUAGGUAAUGAUUACUAAUCUCUUCUUUCCCUGUCACCUGUAUACCAAGCCUUCUCCUCUUCAAGUACCAUCGAGGCAUCAUCCUUCCAGGAGGCCAAGAACCUGGGUCUUGUGCCAAAGUAUACUUAAUGAAGGUUUGUUGAAUGAAUGAAACCUAUCUGCACUGUAGACUGUGAAGAACUACACACAGCUUGGGAAUGAGCUGAGCCUGCCCUGUUGUGGAAACUAAAUGGAGAGACAAAUUUUGUCCUAGUUGGAAACCAAAAUCUCUUCUGCUAGCGCCCUUCUCUUUAUUUGUAAUAAAUUUGUUAGGUAGGAUCAGAGGCUCUUUGUAGUGCAUUUGUUGGGUGGUGUCAGAGGGUCUCAAACAUGUUUGAUCACAUUUACCAGAGAAGCUGAAAGUAUCAGCAAUCCUUUGGCUCAGGCUUCUGGGUUCCAUCUGGAGACUACUGGGCACACAAUAGUAUGGUCAACAGUGAGCUUCCGUUUGGUUAGCAAAUCUAUAAAAUGGGACAGCAACCAUGAUGACAUCUCUUGAGGUUUUUUAGGGUUGAGAUGAGGGUGUGGGAGUCAGGAUCUAAUAAAACCUUAAUUCCAAACCAGAAGGUGAACUGCAUCUCUGCUUAUCUUGGAGAGCCUGGGAGUACAGAUUUUGAGACCAGAUACUAGUAGAAAACUAAACUCUCCUUUGUUAUGGAAACUUACUCCCCUGUGAGACCCUGGGUUUCUUUCUUUCUUUGUUUUUGAUUUGUGUUUUGUUUUGUUUUGUUUUUCACUAGCAUUCCAGACUCCCUUGAAGUUCCCUUAUUUAGUUCCCUUCUCCAAAUCUACCCUGACCUGGUAAGAAGUCUUGCUUCCCAGUAUUAUUCAGCUUCACAGGGCCAUGGUGUUUGAAUCAACUGCUUCCUCUCACACUGGCUCUGCUUCCUGUUCUCAUUCCUGUGCCCUCACCGUCCCAAAUUUGUCUUCCAGAUUAGCCAGUGAUAAACUGAUGGAUUGGCUUGCUUCUCUGCGCUGGGUUGGAGGCAGAUAGAAUGGUAUAAACGGUUGCCAGAACAUUGAGCAAACCGAGGUGUUUCCUUACUUCUUUCACAACUGGUUGGUAGAAGCUACUUGGGUUUUUGAUGCCACCUUUCUAGGCUUCCCUUCAGACAGGCAACACGGUGGAAAGGCAGAACAAAGGAACUGAGAAUGUACCAAGUAAAAUACCAGGUGCCAAGCUAGGGCCAUGCAAGUUUGAUAAUGGCCAAUCUCCACAGUUCACCCUUUCUGCUACACAUUUCACCAGGGCCCUCUGCUGUGGUCCUUGCCUGAGGGUACUGUGAGAUUUGAGAUUCUUGACUUUUACAGAGCAGGUAGCUGUUAAGUAGAGGAGAGAAAUGUCUUACAAGAGAUAAAUGUCUUGUCCUAGUUCGCUUUGCUAGUAAGAGGCAUGGUUGGGAUUUGAACUUGCUUUCCCUGACAGGAGGAGCUGCCCUACCAGGCAGUACUCAUGCUUAUUCAGGCCCAGUAGUUAGCAUUUGUAUUUCCAGGGAAAUGAAGCUAGAAUGGGAUUUUUUUUUAAAAGAAGUUUUUGGAGCCAAAAUUAUUUUAAUUUUAUGGCUGGGAAAAAUGUAAACUUACAUUUCCAGCAGACCAGAGAUGAUAAAGUAUGUGUUUGUCAAAUAAAAUUCUUUACUGUGAUGAAGUAAAUCAUUCUUUGGCUUGUAAAAAAAUUAGGCCUCACUUGAACUGUUUUCACUGGGACUUUUGCUAAUAUUUCUGUUAUCUCCAUUAGGGAUUACUAUGACAAAUGCCUUCUAUUCGCUUCGUUAAGCACUUGGGUGAACGUGUGAACAUGCAGGGCUUCAUAAGUCACAAGGAAAUGAAACAACAUGGUCUUCUGGAAAUAGCUUGAAAACCCAACAGACUGGGACUAGCAUCUGGCUCUGCCACUUAGGAACUACAGCACUCUCAGUAAGCUUUCUCAGCUCCCCUAGGCUUUGAUUUCCUAAUGUUGGGUGUGGGCAUCACCAUUUAUCUCUAAGUCAUUGUAAGCAUGGGAUGAGAAGGCAUGCUGAAGCAUUCUACAAAGAUCCUGGUAUGGGGUGAGUGUUCAUUGUGUGUCUCGAUAUGUUGUGGGUAGCUCUCAGAGUAACUAGUGUGUAGCUCUCAGGGUAACUACUAGCUACUUACUGACCAUAUUGUUUUCCUCAUGGCAGGUAGAAACAUAGAAGAUGCAGGAAGGGGCCAGGACAUGGUCUUGCUAACUGGCUUUCUCUACUUAGGCCCCUUCCUUUGCUAGCAGAUAGAAGCCUGGUUGGUACUCAUCUUAGGAACCUGUCUAGAACACUUCAUGUUCCAGCAUCGCUGAGGUCAUAGAGGCACUGCUCAUAUUGGCCAUGAAAUGGGAACCUUUGGCUCCAUCAGCAGAUGAAUGGAUAAAGACACUUUGGCACAUCUAUCUAUACAGUGGAAUACGACACAGUAAAAGAGAUGAAAUCAUAUUGCCUGGAACAGAAUGGAUGUGACGAAUGUCAUAAUGGCUGGCUUGGCACUGCCAAUGUGAUGUCCUUGUGUGUGGAAUUGGGCAGAAUGCAGAGACCAGUGUGUUGUAUAUGCCAAAGUGUGACGAUGAAGCUGACAGUAUGAAGUAUCUCCUGUGCUCAGACAAAAGAGAUGCAUAUAAUACUGACCCAACAGCAUGGAGUGUGUUUUCUCUUGGAAACUACUUAGGAAGUGAUGGGUGUUUACUACCAUUUUAAUUGUAUGAGUGUGCAACCAAAGCAGUGGGAAGAGGAAGUCUGGAACAUUUUUCUACAAAAUCCUCAUGUAGUGAAGUAAAAAUGAAGAUGGUUUGAAGUAUGUGAUGCACACUUGUGUAAGCGCUCUUAUAGAACAUGCCCAACAUGCAGUGAAUAUAUAUAGUGGAAAUUAAAGAGAAACUGAAAAAAAUCAUGCAUGCCAUUUGUCUCAUGUGACAAUAAGCUAGCAAAUGCCAGUUCAUGCCAAUGCUCUGGCAAGCCAUCAGGGCUUCAGAUUCCUGCUCUGGCUUCCCGUGUAUGACUCCAUCCUCUGUAGUGCCUCAAAACUGCAAUCCAGAUCUUCUCUCGAUGCCUUCAUAUUCACAUCCCAAGCAGGACUGGGAUAAAGAAGAGACUGUCAUGCUUACUUGGCCAUGAUACUGUAUUGUCUUCCUCUGGAUGACUCAAUAACGAGCCUUCAAGAAACAACAGAGGCUAUAAACAGUGGCUGCAAACAGUACAUGUUUAUUAACCCACAGUUCUAGAGAGCUACAGCCCAAACUCAUUCUCCCUGGACUAAUGUUGCAGGGUUGUGCUCUUUAGUGGAGAUGCAUUGAGGCAGACGGCAACCACUUGUCCUCACCAGGCAGAGGUUACCUGUAUUCUUGGCCUGGAAACUCUUGCAACUUCAUAGGCUGCAGAAGCUGGCCCCUUGCAUGUGGCAUUAUUGUAUCCCUGCAUUGUUAUGGUCUCUUUCUUCAAAGGAUCCUUGUGAUAAUACUGAGGCUACCAUACUGAGGUAACCACACUGAAGAAAUAUAAUCUAAUCUCCCCUUCUCUAAACCACUACUAGUUUUCCUCUGCAAAUUCUCUUUGACAAGGAAGGGGACAUAUCCAUGACAUCCAUGGAUGUGAACCAUUGUGUGGUUCUUGACUGGAGCUGGUCCUGCAAGGCCAUCCUUGGUUACAUAGAAGUCUGGGCAAUCAAGGUUUUGCAUUUGGAACUGUCUUAUUUAGAGUUUCCUUUGCUGUGAAGAGACACCAUGACCAAGGCAGCUCUUAUAACGGAAAACAUUUAAUCCAGGGUGGCUUACAGUUCACAGGUUCAGUCCAUUAUCAUCAUGGUGGGAAGCAUGGCACCUAGGCAGGCAGACAUGGUGGUGGAGAAGUAUCUGAGAGUUCUAUAUCCUGAUCUGAAGGGAGUCAGGAGGAAAGUGUGUCACUGGACAUAUCUUGAGAAUAGGAGUCCUCAAACCCUAUGACACACUUCCUUUAACAAGGCCACACCCCCUAAUAGUGCCACUUCCUAUGGAGAAAAGUUCAACCAUAUGAGUCUGUGGGGGGGGGGCAAACCUAUUCAAAGCACCACAGGAACAAUACAGGAAGUGUAAAUAAGAGAGCAGAAGGGAGAAAUACCAGUGGAGUUAUCUACACACUGGGAAAUAAAUGCCCAGGUGGAUAGCUUGCUCUAUGCAUUAAUGGAAAUUUGAAAACAGGCUACUAUUUCAUGUUGGUAAUGGAUGGGCUUACUAUGUGUCCUAGUUAGCUUUAACUGUCAAUUUGACACUACCUAGAAAUAGCCUGAGUGGAGAGCCUCAAUUGAAUUCCUUAGAACAAACUAGCCUAUAGUCAUGCCUGUGGGAGAAUUGUCUUGAUUGUUCCUUGACAUAGGAUCUAGCCCAUUGUGGGAGGGUCAUUUCAUGGCCAGGUGGUCCUGGACUACCUAAGGAAGCUCGAGCUAAGCAUGAGCUUGUGUGAGCCAUCAAGCAGUCUUCCUCUAGGUCUCUGCUGUGCUUCUUGGAUGUGCACUGAGUUCCCUGGCCAGAGGUAAUGCUGUGUGGAAUAUCACCCUCAGCCCCAAGCUCUGCUCUUAAUUGUGGAUGUGAUAUGAUUAGCUUCUUGAGUCUUUUACCUUGACUUUUUCCUCAGUGAUGGACUGUAACUGAGAAUCAUGAGCCGAAUACACCCUCCCCUCUUCUAAGUUGCUUUUGGCCAACAUGUUUUAUCACAGCAACAGAAAGCAGAGUAGAAAACUUUGUUAUAAUCAUUGCUCCCUCACGCUUACAGGCCACCUCUGCUCUCCAGCCUCACUCUAUGCGCACUGUGCUGUUGGCAUAGGGUAGCAAUAGGCCAUCCAUCAUUUCCUUUGCAUGGAAGAAUGCACAGCUGUCCUCCCAAGCCACGGUUACUCAUGUUGGAAAAUGUUACCCCUCUAUCUCUCCCGUCUGUUCUUCAAUGGGUUAGGUGUUGUGGUAGGGAGAGUGCUGGGGAGGAGUUUGCCUGGCCAUAGACAUCAGACAGACCCAUUGACAUAGAGGGCAGAGGUACUCACUGAGGAGAAAACACCUCAUGGGGCAAGGCCUAAAUCGUUGCCAUGGGUUUUGUCAUGGGACAUGAUUUUUCCCCCAUGUAGCAGAAAAUAUCACAUAGAAAAAUUGGAAUAUAUUAUUUCCAAGUUGGCCACCAUAAUGAAAGUAGAACCUGGGAUGAAAAUGGUUUUGUGUUGUCUCUUGGACAACAGAUAAGUAGAAACUUGAACAAGAUAAAAGUAUGUGGAUCCAUCCCAUAUCUAGCCACCAAACCUG
Mus musculus (house mouse) is the source of this 7094-nucleotide long non-coding RNA. RefSeq annotates it as predicted gene, 35380. Lineage: Eukaryota; Metazoa; Chordata; Mammalia; Rodentia; Muridae. The record is from RefSeq and is a predicted model, not a curated record. The transcript is spliced from 3 exons.